Oncorhynchus masou masou (cherry salmon) is the source of this 3060-nucleotide long non-coding RNA. RefSeq lists it as uncharacterized. Lineage: Eukaryota; Metazoa; Chordata; Actinopteri; Salmoniformes; Salmonidae. The record is from RefSeq and is a predicted model, not a curated record. The transcript has 2 exons.
AGGGGUGGUACAGGUGUACAAUCAACAACCAAGACACUAGAGACAUACAUAUCACUGUUGAAGGUAAGAGAUCUGAUAAUGAUCCAUUUUAUGAGUGUUGUCUGCACACUGAAAAACAAGCACUGCAUUCACCAUUUAAGUUGACUUUUUCAUGCUCAUAUAAGAUGUGCAUAACAAAAUAAGUCUGUAAGGGGAUAAAGACAUUACCAUAUACUACAAAAGCACUACCAACAACUGCUUCUAAUGGUCCGUUUAUGUCCAAUGAAUAUCAUGAAAUUAUACUCCACAGGCAGAAUAUUUCAAGGAAAUUAUUUAAAUGUCUCAAAAUUACACACAUCUGCGACUGGUUUCUAUCAAAUUGUCAUUACAUUUUCUGUCUGACAGGUUCGAAUUGAUGACAUUUGAACAAAAAACUACAUCAGCAUACAAGCUGACCACAGUAUUCUGUUUUGCACUGAGCAAAGCUCCCUGUUCUACUGUAGACUGACUAAACAUGUCCAUAUCCUGUAGGAACUGACACAGUGAGGAGAAGCUCCAUCUGCAUCCUCUCUGCAAAACAUUACAAUCCAAUACGUCUUAAUGGCUGUCCUACCAGUCAUACUGAUCAUCGCUGGAAUGGCUUUGUACAUAUACUAGAGAAACAAAAGUAUUUAUCCACAAUUGCAACCACUAAAAAAAGCAAUGUGGAAUGUGGGAAUGGUUCAUUUUGUGUAUUAAACUCUGUUUUUUUUAUCCCAGGAAAGAAAACCACAGGGAAUAAUAGUAGAGGGAGCAAAAGAGGAGGAGAGAAUAAUGAUGAGGUCAAUGAAUCAUUUAGAAGCUCUAUCACAGUGAGAGUGAUGGGGAAUGAAGAUAGAAAGAAUACAUCCCACUUAUCAUUGCGUUGUUAUAUGGUUAUGGGUUCAAAGUUACUGUAUGUGUGCCUUAUUUUCUGUCUCCUAGGAUGAUCCUACUGCAAUGUAUUCCAUGGUUGUGGACAGAAACACUGGUUUAAGCAUCAACACAACACCACUUAGUGCACUAGUAACAGAAUUGUGUUUGUUUGUUUGUUUUUAAGACUGUUCCUUGAUUAAAUCAUGUCAAAUUCAGUGGGAAAAUGAAGGUCUCAAAAAAGAUUACAUCUCAAUCCCUGUGCUAUUUGUGUGCUAAUGAAUGUUGCAACUUCAUUAUACAGUAUGUGUCUCAUUGUAUCUUCCCUCUCUAGGAUGAUCCCAAUGCAAUGCAUGCUACGGUUCAACACAGAAACGCCAACCAAGAAGAUACAACUACACCACUCAGUGCUCCAGAUGAUCCCUCAGUGAUAUACUGCACCAUCGUCCACAUGACAGGAAAAGGGAAAGCAGCUGUGAGUCUGGAGAGCAGUGGAGAAAUAGAGUACGCCAGUAUCAAGACAGGCAGAUCCUCCUAGAGCCACUAUACAAGGCUCACAGCCUUAUAAUACAGAGAGAUCUAACAGUAUUGUGCCCAGUAUCAUGAGGCUUUAUCUGGCGCACUUAACUAUAAAUAUAUUUCACUCUCCAAUAACACAUGUUUACUGGUUAACUGGGCACAGGAAAUCAAGGGCGGGUUUACCUAUGCUAACAUGUGGAAUUGUUUUAAGAUGGUGUAACUAUCGUUUAGCUACUUUUUUUUUGUGAAGCAGAGACAUGCAAAGUGCCUUGAAUGGCUUGUGAUUUACCUAGUUCCCUUUUUAUAUUGCUGUUUUAUAUUACUGUUUUGUAAUAGAGACGGAUGACUUCAGCCAUUUAAAGAAAAGGGAGAUGUGGUUUGAUGUGUAUAGAAACAUCUUUCGCAAUCACUAUUGCAAGAGGUUUCAUUGGUGGCUAUUCAAACUGAUGUAUCACCCAUUUUAACAUAUGAAUCUUAUAUUUCUGCCAAAUAGCUGGUACACCUUGAAGAAUUCAUAAUCUUUGAAGUUGACAACAAAAAUGUUAGGCUUAAAAAUACAAAGUUUGUUACAGCCAACUAUCUUUGUAAAAAACAGCCUAUUGUCAAAACCAGUCAGUUUGCUACUUCCUCUUUGGUCUAAUGGACAAAUCACAAAUUGUUGUAUUCCUGAACAAGAAAAGCACUCUAGCAAUGUCAUCAACUGAAGCAUAUGCUUUUAAAGUGCACAACUAACAGGGAAUGUCAUGUUAAAGUGUGUAUGUUUCUGUACAGACAGUAUCUGUAACGGCUUUCGUCUGGUGAAGGAGAAGCGGACCAAAAUGCAGAGUGGUAUUUUUGAGACAUGUUUAAUGACGAAUGAAAAAUGACCAAUACAAAAACAACAAACGGAAUGUGAAAACCUAUACAGCCUAUCUGGUGACAACAAACACAGAGACAGGAACAAUCACCCACGAAAUACUCAAAGAAUAUGGCUGCCUAAAUAAAGUUCCCAAUAAUCACCUGACUCUGAUUGAGAACCGCCUCAGGCAGCCAUAGACUAUGCUAUACACCCCCAAGACAAAACACACCACAAAAAACCCAUGUCACACCCUGGCCUGACCAAAUAAAUGCAGACAAACACAAUAUACUUCGACCAGGGCGUGACAGUAUCUCCAUUUGACAAAGUCACAUUUUCCAAUUACUCACUUCAGCACACUCCCACAGACACAAACAGAUGGCCAUCUACAGUAUAUUUUGCAAUAUACAAAUAUACAGAUAUUUCAGGUUUUUUAAAAAGCUAAAAACCUGUUUUUGCUUCUUCAUUAUGGGGUAUUGUGUGUAGACUGAUGAGAGGAAUAAUUAUUUAGUCAAUGUUAGAAUAAGGCUGUAACGCAACAAAAUGUGGAAAAAGUCAAGGGUCUCAAUACUUUCCAAAUGCACUUAUCAGAUCUGUUUUUGAUAUGUCCUCAUUCUCAGCACUAACAUGUCUGUGACUUUUCCUUUUAAAGAUGAUAAUAUUAACAUGCUGAUGUAGUAGACGCUUUUAUCCAAAGCGACUAACACGAAGUAAACAUAUUUAGAAGCCUAUAUGUAGCCCAUGGGCAAGUGGCUAACCUUGUGGAUGUUGCUAACCCAAUGCUGAUAAACUUCACAAAAUAAGUGUGAAUUAACUGUUUUUGCCUGUCUCUUAAA